CUCAAUCUAAUCGCUGCCUCAUCUCCACCAAUCUCUGGUGUUGAAAGUGGCUCUCCACCAAUCGUGCCUCAUCUCAAUCCUGUGAUGUUGCGUCCCCAGGAUCUCACCCAUUUGUUCCCCACUGGUCUCGGGUAGGUUCUCAUCUCCUACAAUUUUCUUUGUCCAAGAUUCUAACCUUCGUUUCCUCCUGGACUCGGUGAUGGUUGCAUCCCAGAUUCCUCUCGAUAGCAGGUGAAUUUGCCCUCCUCUAUGCCUUUAAUUUUUUCUCCUUCGUUUCCUCCUAGAUCUAAGUGAUGGUUGCAUCCCGGAUUCCUCUCCAUAGCAGGUAAAUCUGCCCACCUGUACGCCUUUAAUUUUUUUCUAUUCUUGAUACUACAUUGGUGGUUCAGAUUUUAAUCUCAAGUGACAUAUAGAUAUAUGUUUGAUGGGGCGUUGUGCUAUGGAUGCUUAUAUCGAUGCAUUUAUCUUCUAUUAAUUAUUUCAUUGAUGUUCCAGCUCAGCCGUUAAUGUCAAUGGAUACGCAAAAUCUUCCGCACAAAUAUAUCAUCCGAAGAACUUAAUUGUUCACCCGCAAAAAAAAAGAACUUAAUUGUUGGCCCACUCCUAUCAAUUGUGCUUUAUGGUGAAACGGACCAGGCCAUCAAGAAUACACUCCUAGGAUUUAUACAGUGAGAUUUUUUAAGAUGAAGUUACAUUCAGUUUUGUAAGAGUGCAUUUUAUAAUGUUAUGCAAUACUGCGACUUUUCAUAACCAAUCAAUCUGAAAACCAUAUUAUGAUUUUUUUUUCCAUUUUACAAAUACUUUGUACAGCAACACUGCCAAAUACUAUUUAUUUGAUUUUAUAGGCAAGUCAAUAAAGAUAUGAGUAUUCAUGUUUAUAGCCUACUACAGUGAGGUAGUGCCAAGCCUUAGCUGUACUAUACUAACAUUAAAUUUUACAUAAAUGUUAAAUACUGAAGUUCUGGGCACUACCGCAAUGGGAUUUUAUUGUCUCUUCCUUAUGUGGAACCCUUCUCCGGAGAUAACUACUCCCUGUGUUACAUGGUGUGAUAGAUUUUAGAGAAUCAUGCUUGCAGCUUUAUCAUUCAGUAAGGUAUAUUUGAUGGCCCCCUCUAGUAAAAAGAAAAUUCCCCUGUUCCAUUCCAUAUUCCCAUUAUUCGUCGAGAAUUAUAGGGUGCAUAUUUUUAGCAUACUUCUCUUGCCUCCAGAAUGAAAUUUCUAAGAAAAUUGUAAUGUUGUGCCUCUUCUUAACUAGGACUGAUGCAUCCAGCCGAGGAAUAUGAGUGCUAGAUUCUGAGAGGUAACAAAUAGUGUUAGUUUUCAGUAUGAAUUCGCAUAAUCUUUAUGGAUUUUCUUUGCAAUUCCAUGAGUCUGUAUACCCUUUUUUUUUGCCAUCCGCCCAUCCUUUAGGUGUUGUUAUCUGUAGUCAAUUGGUGAAAGAAAUGGAUGCGAUCAUUUGACAUACCAUGGAGUAUAAUUUCCACAUGAGAUUCUCAAAAAAAAAAAUUCCACAUGACAUGCUUAAUAGACUUUUCUACCAUCUGUUAAGUGAUUAUUACCUAAAUUACAGUAACUUCAGUUCACAACAGGUAUACCUUGAUGGACGUGGUGCUACGGAUGCUUAUAUCGAUGAAUUUAUCUUCCAUUAAUUGAUACAUUGAUGUUCCAGCUCAGCCUUUAAUGUCAAUGGGUACACAAAAACUUCCGCAUGAAUAUAUUAUCUGAAGAAUCUAAUUGAUAGCCCGCCCCUAUUGACUGUGCUUUAUGGUGAAACAGAUCAAGCCAUCAAGAAUACAGUCAUAGGAUUUAUACAGUGAAGUUACUUUCAGAUUUUUUUAAGACGUUCAAUCAGUUUAGUAAUACUGUGUUUAUAAUGUUAUUGUUAACUGCAAAUGAUCAUAAUCAAUCAAUCCGACACCAUAUUAAGUUCUUUCUAUUUUAAAAAUACUUGGUACAGAAAAUAGUGCCAAAUACUAUUUUUUUAAUUUUAUAGGCAAGACAAUAAAUAUAUGAGUAUUCAUGUUUAUAGUCUACUAUGUGAGAUAGUGCCAAGCUUUAGAUGUGCCAUAUUGACAUUAAAUUAUACCUAAAUGUUAAAUAUUAGAAAAAGUUUUGGG
Molecule: long non-coding RNA, 2117 nt
Filed under: Triticum aestivum (bread wheat)
Lineage: Eukaryota; Viridiplantae; Streptophyta; Magnoliopsida; Poales; Poaceae
Description: long non-coding RNA (TAES_LNC013117)
Source: RNAcentral